AGGUUUCGAUGUGCUUUGCUGUAGGUGCCGCGAUGUCGUCAGCCGACCUGGGAGGGUAAGGAUUACAUAGCAACAGCCGGAUUGAACCUUUUUAGGGUCCAGGUGAGCAGGGCAAAGAAAAGAUGGCCGCUUAAUGAAUCAGAGUUCUGCCUGCUGUUGCCUAAAUCUUCGGGUGGCUGCUGCCUUGGCAUUGCAAAGGUGAAUU
Molecule: long non-coding RNA, 205 nt
Organism: Panicum virgatum (switchgrass)
Lineage: Eukaryota; Viridiplantae; Streptophyta; Magnoliopsida; Poales; Poaceae
Exons: 3
Source: RefSeq, a predicted model, not a curated record